GAGGAUGAUGAUUACAUAUUUGUCGCUCCACUCUUAGGGUCCACAUUGCUGGAUCUAUGCUGAUUGACAUACUUAUGAAUCUGACUU
Triticum aestivum (bread wheat) is the source of this 87-nucleotide non-coding RNA. Lineage: Eukaryota; Viridiplantae; Streptophyta; Magnoliopsida; Poales; Poaceae. The record is from Rfam.